Molecule: long non-coding RNA, 2412 nt
Organism: Astatotilapia calliptera (eastern happy)
Lineage: Eukaryota; Metazoa; Chordata; Actinopteri; Cichliformes; Cichlidae
Source: Ensembl
CUGUAAACGGUUUUUGAUCAAGCUAGGCUAGACUGACGAUAGAUCAAUAUAUAUCUGAAAGUAUUUGGGGGUUUUUUCAUCCCAGCGUCUCUUUUGCUCCCGAAGACCCCAUUUGCACAGCAGGUGAAAUCAUGGAUGGUUUGCUUAAGGAAAUAAGAAGCAAGGACCAAGCAGCCGCCUCUGUACUGGAACAGGCGGAUUUACGCAGUGACUCAGAUCUCCAGUCACUGACUUUACAAGACCUGGGUUUGCUGUUCCCUGGAGUUAAAAAUGUCAAACUGAGAAGGGAUAUCUUUGAUAUAAUACACAAGCAGAAAUCAAUUGGUGAGCUCAUAGAAAAAUCCAAGCACUUCAUCCCACAUGACUCUCUCAGGGCUGCCUUAACUGAAAAUGGAGUUUUGGUCGACUACCUGAAAAUGUUGAAGGAAAUGAAGACCCAAAUGAAUAAAGAUUUCCUUGAUCCGCAUAUCAAUCUACUGGAGGACUUCAGGAAAUCUCAACCAUCGCAGGACCAGGACAAAGGUGAAAUCAUGGAUAUUUUGCUUAAGGAAAUAAGACGCAAGGAUGAAGUGGCAGCCAAUAAACUGGAAGAGGAAGGUUUGAGAGCUGACUCAGAUCUCCAGUUACUGACUUUACAAGACCUGGGUUUGCUGUUACCUGGAGUUGAAAAUGUCAAACGGAUAAGGGAAAUCUUUGAUAUAAUACACAAGCAGAAACCAAUUGGUGUGCUCAUAGAAAAAUUCAAGGACUUCAUCCCACAUGAAUCUUUCAGGGCUGCCUUAACUGAAAAUGGAGUUUUGGUUGACUACCUGAAAAUGUUGAAGGAAAUGAAGAUCCAAUUGAAUAAAGUGCAAGAUUUCCUUGAUGCACAUAUCAAUCUACUGGAGGACCUCAGGAAAUCUCAACCAUUGCAGAACCAGGACAAAGGUUCUUCGUCAAGUGGUCCAGUGAAGCGCCACAAUAGCCAAACCAGUGACCCUCCACAAAUGCAACAAGGCCCAGCUUGCACAGCAGAGGAAAACGUUUUGCAUAAAGAAAAAAGACACAAGGAUGAAAAAGCAGCAGGUUCUUCGUCAAGUAGUGAGAAUAGCCAAACUAGUGACCUUCCAGAAAUACAACAAGCCACACUGAAGUACAAGAUGGUGAUAAGUGGAAAAACCUUUAAUGCCCAUCAACAGAUACUGGAAAAAGUAAAGGCUUUAAAUGAGGAUCCAGAUUUGAAUUUGAUCGAACAGGAAGACAGCAAUCAGGAUUGCCAGGCCAUUAUUGUCUUCUGUCCCAUUGUUUCACGUAUGGGGACAGAUAUUGAUGCAGCCAUGACGCAAGUCAAAGGUUCUCAGCCUGUCAUUCUGGUUUUGAUGCAUCACGCACAUGAACCCAAGCAUGUAACUUUAAUGAAAAUACAGAAUAAUGUUUCUAAUGUUGUGUUACCUUUCCAUGUUUUCUACCAUGAGACAGUGCAUGGAUUGUUGCAGUGUCAGCAAAAUAACGAUGCCAUUUCUGAAAUUCGAAAGGCAUUACUGAAGCACGCAGAUAUCCAGACAAUUAAAGAUACAAGUGGAAAGACACAGAAUGUAGCUGCUAAAAGUAGUAAUCGUGGUGGGAGUUUUAUUUUUCGUUUUUGGUAAAUAAUGAUAGUGUAAAUUCAGAUAUUACAAGUCAAAGAAACUGUAUAUAUAUCCCAUGCAUUACUCUUUUGUAAUCUAAUUUUUUUUGCGCUGUAUCACUUCAGUAGUGUAGAUUGCUCUGACCAUUUGAGUAGGAAGCGAAAAUUUUAUGGUUUUGAUCAUGCAAAAUAAUUAUUUUGUACAUUGUGAAACAAAAGGACAGCACAGAAUCGUCUUUGUGACCUUUAUUUCAGUACUUUAAGAUAUUUCAGCUGUAAGGGUAGUUGCAGAGUCAACAGGUGUGAUCAUGAAGUGUCAAAGAAGAGGUCAGAGACACAGUAUAUGGGUGUAGAUAGUCAUAAAACUACUUUCAACUGUACCAACUGCUGUUUAUCUCUAAAAACAAAAGUGACAGCUACAGCUGUAUGUACACAGUGACAUCGUAAGUCCUUUGAUCAUUAAGAUAAAUAAUAAAUAUAUUUAUAUCAAAGUCAAACAUAUUGUGAUUAGUUUCACGGUUGCUAUGUAAAUCUGCAAGUUAUUUUCAUCUUUCAGAAAAAAAAAAUCAAGCCAAUGUUUAAAAUUGUGAAUAAAAAUGUAAAAAAACAUCUGUUGUCUUCUUUUUCUUUUUUCCUUUUUUUUUUUUUUUUUUUUUAAAUUGAGGGGUCCUGAACAGUUCAAAACACCAGUGUAUUUACAGUAUAAUUUAACCUAGUUCAGCUAAUAUUUCUGCUGUUAUUUUCUAUAUUCUUGACUUUUAUUCACUCUAAGAAAGACUAAAGAGUGCAAAGACCACAUAUUCAAU